UACGGGGGGGGCAGGCGUUGUCCGGAAUUACUGGGCGUAAAGGGCUCGUAGGUGGCCAACUAAGUCAGAUGUGAAAUCCCUCGGCUUAACCGGGGAACUGCGUCUGAUACUGGAUGGCUUGAGUUCGGGAGAGGGAUGCGGAAUUCCAGGUGUAGCGGUGAAAUGCGUAGAUAUCUGGAGGAACACCGGUGGCGAAGGCGGUUCUCUGGGCAUUACCUGACGCUGAGGAGCGAAAGUGUGGGGAGCGAACAGG
Molecule: ribosomal RNA, 253 nt
Filed under: uncultured bacterium
Lineage: Bacteria
Description: partial 16S ribosomal RNA
Rfam family: Bacterial small subunit ribosomal RNA
Source: RNAcentral